CCUACGGGUGGCUGCAGUGGGGAAUAUUGGACAAUGGGCGCAAGCCUGAUCCAGCCAUGCCGCGUGUGUGAAGAAGGCCUUCGGGUUGUAAAGCACUUUAAGCGAGGAGGAAGGUCUUUGAACUAAUAUUUCAAAGAAUUGACGUUACUCGCAGAAUAAGCACCGGCUAACUCUGUGCCAGCAGCCGCGGUAAUACAGAGGGUGCAAGCGUUAAUCGGAAUUACUGGGCGUAAAGCGCGCGUAGGCGGUAUGUUAAGUCGGAUGUGAAAUCCCUGGGCUCAACCUAGGCAUUGCAUCCGAUACUGGCACACUAGAGUGUGGGAGAGGAAGGUAGAAUUCCAGGUGUAGCGGUGAAAUGCGUAGAGAUCUGGAGGAAUACCGAUGGCGAAGGCAGCCUUCUGGCCUAACACUGACGCUGAGGUGCGAAAGCGUGGGGAGCAAACAGGAUUAGAUACCCCGGUAGUC
This 465-nucleotide ribosomal RNA is filed under the name uncultured Moraxellaceae bacterium. RNAcentral's name for it is "bacterial SSU rRNA". It matches the Rfam family "Bacterial small subunit ribosomal RNA", at positions 338 to 795 of the family's 1533-position model. The record is from RNAcentral. Lineage: Bacteria; Pseudomonadati; Pseudomonadota; Gammaproteobacteria; Moraxellales; Moraxellaceae.